This 340-nucleotide long non-coding RNA is filed under the name Brassica rapa (field mustard). Its description in RNAcentral is "long non-coding RNA (BRAP_LNC002342)". Lineage: Eukaryota; Viridiplantae; Streptophyta; Magnoliopsida; Brassicales; Brassicaceae. The record is from RNAcentral.
UACAUAAUACAACUAUCUUCUGUUAUACGCGUUUUACUAGUUAAAGGGAAAAGUCCACUGGGCCAUAUUGGGUCGAUAUUAACAUUGUAUGUAACCGGGUUUUGUACAUGGGCUUAGGGUACUUAGCAUGCUUGUAUAUAAGGCAUUUGCCGUCGUUACUUGCCGUCGUUACUUGUUGAAAAAGAAGGAAUAUGACACACUGCUGAACCUUCUUGACAAAGUCAAAUUUACAACAUCUGAUUGUGCAUAUAUAUAUUAUGAAAUAUGAUUUUCUAUAUUAGAAAGCACAACACAUAGUUCUGAUAUAACUUAUUUUUAUAAUAAUAUUAUGUGUAUUAUC